AGUGAACGCUGGCGGUAGGCCUAACACAUGCAAGUCGAACGGCAGCACAGUAAGAGCUUGCUCUUACGGGUGGCGAGUGGCGGACGGGUGAGGAAUACAUCGGAAUCUACUUUUUCGUGGGGGAUAACGUAGGGAAACUUACGCUAAUACCGCAUACGACCUACGGGUGAAAGCAGGGGAUCUUCGGACCUUGCGCGAUUGAAUGAGCCGAUGUCGGAUUAGCUAGUUGGCGGGGUAAAGGCCCACCAAGGCGACGAUCCGUAGCUGGUCUGAGAGGAUGAUCAGCCACAGUGGAGCUGAGACGGAGCACAGAGGCCGACGGGAGGCAGCAGUGGGGAAUAGUGGAGAAGGGGCGGAAGCCUGAUACAGCAAUACGGGGUAGGGGAAGAAGGCCCUAGGGUUGGGAAACCCUUUGGUUGGGAAAGAAAAACAGCACGUUGAGAAGCCGGGGUUCUGACGGUACCCAAAGAAUAAGCACCGGCUAACUUCGUG
RNAcentral lists this ribosomal RNA (492 nucleotides) under uncultured bacterium. RNAcentral's name for it is "partial 16S ribosomal RNA". It matches the Rfam family "Bacterial small subunit ribosomal RNA", at positions 30 to 507 of the family's 1533-position model. The record is from RNAcentral.